RNAcentral lists this long non-coding RNA (4608 nucleotides) under Lathyrus oleraceus (garden pea). RNAcentral's name for it is "Pisum sativum (pea) long non-coding RNA (PSAT_LNC020861)". Lineage: Eukaryota; Viridiplantae; Streptophyta; Magnoliopsida; Fabales; Fabaceae. The record is from RNAcentral.
CCUGAUUCCGCAAUGUUACCCUGCCAAAACGCACACCAAACCAUUCAUUAAAAGUUCAUACGAUCAAAAACUACCCAGAGUUUCUCACUGGAACUCUGGAUUAGUUGAACUAAACCGCCAAUCGGGACCUGUGAUAUCGAAACGAAGAAGAAGCAAAGAGCGCAAGAGGAUGAAGUAAGGGAAAGAGCAGAGAAAUACCUGAAGCAGAGGAAAUCUCCCCUUCUCUUUGUCGGUAUCCUUUCACAUUUAUUCAUUUCUUGUUGAAAACCUCUAACAUGGUUGAUAUUUGUUCAAAAAUUGAGUUUGCACUUCAAUUUCCACCGCAUUGCGUAACGACUUAGUAACCAUUGGACGAGAGUGUCGGUCUCAAUUGUGGUUUAGACUAUAUCACAUGAACUCUUUGCAUUUUAUGCUUCUCUAUUCGUAUGCGAUUUGUUUGAGUAGUAGGUUCUUAUUUGAGAAAUUUGGGAUUCAGGGUAUGAUCAAGGGUUAUGUAUGUAUGAUCUUGUUGUUCACCAUAGAUGAAUUUUGUUUUAGAUUUGUGCUUAGGGUUUGGGUUGGGCCACACGAUUGUGGUUUCGGAAAAAAUGGAGAGAAGAGUUUUGAUUCAGAAGAAAACAUAGAAACAUAGAGAGAGAGAGGAAGGUUGUCUCUACGUUUUCAUAUGGUGUUAGUUUUAUUUUUGUUUAUGACUAGUUAAUUGUAGGAUUUAAUAUUAAUUAGUGGCAGAUCAUUCAAUAUUGGGAAAGGUUACUAAUCAGUGGUAACAGUGCCCAUGCAAUGAGCACCGCCGCUCCACCUUCCCAAGAAGUUGCACGUGUCUCCAUGGGAGUCUAACCGUCACAGGGAAGCUGUACAGCUGUCCCUCUUUUGGUUUCAUCUUUAGAUGCCUUGUCUGAUGGGCUCAAGAGGAGUUGGGCUUAAGGCCCACUCCGACCCAUGGUUUGCUUUUUCUUUCCUUUCUUUUUUUUCUAUGCUCAGUUUUGACUUGGUCAUAAAGAGGGGUUUUGGGCCUUAGGGCCCAUUACGAGAUAUUAGUGCUAGGGCCUUAUUUUGGGCUUCGCUUAUAGUUUACCUUCUUUCAAACUUCAUCUCUUUCUUAUUUCCCAUACAUCUUGAUUUAUUACUUUAAUUAAAAAGAUAACACUAAUAUUAGAAAUAUUUAUUAAUUCGGUUUCGAUUAUUAUUUUCAACUCAUUUUUUAUCUUGUUAGAAUAUUACAAUUAAUUAAAUGGUGGAUUAAAUGGUUAAUGUCAACAAACAAUUUACUUUAUUUUUAAAAAAAAAAAUUGAUUUUGAUCCAAUACCAAAUAGUCUUUCUCAAAGUAUAUUAAUUCUAAGUAAAUUCAAAUUCACCAUAUUUAAAUAGUAUUCUCUUAAAAUUAUUUAAUUUAAUUUUGAAUGAAAAGGAGAAUAGUAAGCCUCUGAUUCACUAUCUCUCGACUAUUCGAAUAAUUGGCGUACGCCAUAUUGCUCGGAUUUUCGUCAUUCAAUUAAAACCCUAAAAACUCUAUAAAAUUAAAAUCACUUCCUCAAGUUAAUUAUAAAUCCUAAAAGUUUCAUUAUCUAAAUUAAUUUUGGAUGAAAAGGGGAAUAGUAAGCCUCCGCUUCACUAUCUCUCGACUAUUCGAAUAAUUGACGUACGCCAUAUUGCUCGGAUCUUCGUCAUUCAAUAAAAACCCUAAUAAUCAUACAAAAUACAAAUCAUCUUCCUAAAUUAGGGUAAUACUCAAAAUAUAUCUUUUUAUAAAUUUGGGAUGAAAAAGACAAAAUACAAAUCAUCUUCCUAAAUUAGGGUAAUACUCAAAAUAUAUCUUUUUAUAAAUUUGGGAUGAAAAAGGAGAUAGGAAGCGUUCGCUUCACUAUUUCUCAAGCACUUGAAUAAUUGGCGUAUCCCAUAUUGCUCGAGUUCUUGUCACUCGAUUAAACCUUAAUCAUACAUUUUCAAAUCGAUUUUUCAAAUCAAAAAUAGGUUCUAAAUUCAAAUCAUUUCUAAACAUCAAACCUCAAUAUUCAAAUCACGUCUCCAAAAUCAAUUCCAAAUUUCAAAUUCUUUUUAUUAUUUCCGAUAAUUAAGGAUAGGAGGCGUACGCCUCACUAUAUUUCGAUUAUUCGAAUAAUUGACGUACGCCACAUUGCUCGAAUCUUCGUCAUCAAUUCAAAACCACAAUCGAAUAAACUCAAAUCACCUUUUAUAUAGAACACAAUUUUACAAAGUAAACUUUACAAAUUAAACUUCAAUUGAAAAUGGGAGGCGUUCGCCUCACCAUUACUUGAUUAUUUGAAUAAUUGGCGUACGCCACAUUGCUCAAAUUAUCGAUCCAAACCUACCAAAAUUCAAAUUAUUUUCACAAAUCAAAUACGACAUCUAAAGACAUAUCUUUUACAAUUUAAACCUCGGAUGAUAAAAGAUGGGAGGCGUUCGCCUCCCAUCUCAUCGACUUAUUGAAUAAUUGGCGUUAUAGCCAUCUAUUGCACAAUUAAUCGACUUCCGACUAAAACACGCUAAAUAAACUUGGAUAAGGGAAUAGGUGGCGCUCGCCUCAUUAUUCUUUGAAUAAGCAAGUAGGAGGCGUACGCCUCACUACCGUGCAUAUUCAACAUCCGCAAAUAAACUUUCAAAAAUAAUUAGAACGAAAAAGGAGUAGAAGGCUUUCGCCUUAUUAUUCCUCGAAAAAAUUGGACGAUUGGUGUGCACCACAUUGCUCAAUCUUUCGUUGUUCUUCAAAAACAUCUCAUACACAUCAAACCUAAUUUCUCGCCCCCGCGCGAUCGAAACCAAACUAAAACACCCAAACACGUCAAUUCAAAUCGUCACCCUCGCGUGACCAAAACCCUUUUCAAAAGAACACUGUUAAUCCUUUCUAAUACGCACAACAAACUAGUGCUUAAGCCUCCCCCGAGAGUAGACAAGCCAGCGUUUAGCCUUUAGAACAUCGACCUACACAGUCGUUCAUCAAAGAAAAACACACCAAAUAUUCGUAGUAGCCUGAACUACGAAUGCUCUGAUUUCCUUAUUGCACCAUAAGGAUACGUAGACAGGAGAUUGUUGUAUCUUCGCGAGCACACUAAUAAAAAACCUCAUUUUUUCCCUCCUGAGGUCUUCAUCCAUAUCUAUCAUAAAUUCUAAUCACUCGAAGCAAGCAAAUAACAGUCAAUUAACAAUCAAAUAGCAAAUCAGACUAAAAGGUUCCCAUUGAGUACAACGGACGUUAGGGGUGCUAAUACCUUCCCUUUGCGUAAUCGACUCCCGAACCCAAAUAUGGUUGCAACGACCAUUAUUCUUAUUUCUAAAGGUUUUCUCGAUAUUUUCCUAUUCCUUCAUUGGAAUAAAUAAAGUUCGGUGGCGACUCUGUUUCGAACAACAUUUUUUCCGCGUUCCAUCGCGAGGGAUCGCAUUUUUUCGAGGUGCGACAGACUGGCGACUCUACUGGGGACCCUGCUCCAAGCAAGAGAGAGUCUAGCCUAGCUUAGCUUGAUUUUGCUAUGACUGUUAGAAGAUGUUCUCAUCUUCCAUGCUUGUUUCUCUGUAUUUUAUUAUGUUGCUUGUAUGUAAUGUAUUUUGAUACUAUAAUAUGGGACUUGGUGUAUGCUGUGAGAUAAGCGCCAUACCCGAGCUUCGAGAAGAACUUAGAACCCGAAGUUGUGUAGUAUUGAACCGAGGGGUGUACACCUCAUUGGGACAAUACGAAGACUCCACCUAGAGUAGAUCUGUUUGGAAUUUCCAUCACAAUAUGGCUAGCCCAUUAUUGCGGGGAGGUUCUAAAUACGAUCCGUGACUCUAGGGACCUCGCCUUAAACCCAAGUUUUGUUUUCAUGAUUGGUGAUUAUGUAGUAUUGAACCGAAGGGUCUACGCCCUGUUCGAACAAUACGAGAAUCCCACUUAGAUUAGAUCAUUUCAGAACUCCCAUCAUGAUGUGGCUAGCCCACCAUUGCGAGGAAGUUUUGAACUUGAUCCGUGAGUCUGAGUUCCUUCCUUGAAAACAUAACUUUAGAACCUACCUUUGGGGAAUUUCUAAUCAGAGAAACCUUUGCUUCUUCCAGUUAUACUGACGUACCCGACGUGUGAAUGAUCAUGAGUAUCUGUAUUCCUUGCGAAAAACAUGGAAAAAUAUCAUGCAUUGGCAUAUCAUAAACAUGCAUUGCAUAUCAUAUCCCAGAAACAAAAACUUACACCACAUUCUACCCUUUGUCCAGUAAUGCUGACUACUCGACACCGGUGCGAGACACGCCACAGCUACAAGAUGACGCUUGAACAACUUGAAGCCAACCAGGUUUCAAUGAGGAUAGACAUUGACUCCAUGCAGACAAAGAUGGAUCGCUUGCUGGAAACCAUGUUGCUCCUAGACCAGAAGGAGAAGGAUGUUGAGACUAGCGCCGAAGCCAGGAAAGUUGCUUCCCAGUUUGGAUCGUCGUCACUUAGCAUCCUUGGAGUAAUUGAACUUGAUGGUAACCCCGCCCAGCCUAGAGGAGGACUAAUCCCUAUUCCGAUCCCCAUGGUCAACAUGAACCCCCAUGAGCAUUCUGCUACAUCUGCUUGACAUGGAUCAAUGAUGGGUGAUGAAGAUCCGUAUGACGCUUUCUCCAUCGGCCUGAACAAGCAGAGC